This 207-nucleotide ribosomal RNA is filed under the name uncultured bacterium. RNAcentral describes it as "partial 16S ribosomal RNA". It matches the Rfam family "Bacterial small subunit ribosomal RNA", at positions 568 to 774 of the family's 1533-position model. The record is from RNAcentral.
CGUGUAGGCGGCCACGCAGGUCCGUUGUGAAAACUGGAGGCUCAACCUUCAGACGUCGACGGAAACCGUGUGGCUAGAGUCCGGAAGAGGAGAGUGGAAUUCCUGGUGUAGCGGUGAAAUGCGCAGAUAUCAGGAAGAACACCAAUGGCGAAGGCAGCUCUCUGGGACGGUACUGACGCUGAGACGCGAAAGCGUGGGGAGCGAACA